Long non-coding RNA from Gorilla gorilla gorilla (western lowland gorilla), 2081 nucleotides. RefSeq lists it as uncharacterized. Lineage: Eukaryota; Metazoa; Chordata; Mammalia; Primates; Hominidae. The record is from RefSeq and is a predicted model, not a curated record. The transcript is spliced from 3 exons.
AUAAGACCUUAAACUAUACAAUCCUAGAAGAAAACCUAGGAAAUACUUCUCUUGAUAUCAGCCAUGGCAAAGGAUUUAUGGCUAAGCCCUCAAAGGUAAUUCCAGCAAACACAAAAAUUGACAAGUGGGUUCUAAUCAAUCUAAACAUCUUCUGCACAGGAAAAGAAACUAUCAAGGGAGUAAACAGAAAACCUACAGAAUGGAAGAAAAUAUUUGCAAACUAUGCAUCCAUCAAAGGUUUAAUAUCCCACAUCUAUGAGGAAUUUAAAUCAACAAGCAAAGAAACCAAGUAACCUCAUCAAAAAGUGUGCAAAGAACAUGAACAGACACUUCUAAAGAGAAAACAUACAAGUGGCCAAGAAACAUAUGAAAAAAGGUUCAUGAUUGCUAGUCAUCAGAGAAAUGCAAAGAAAUUGUCUCUAAAAGGCUCCUGAUGCUCCACCGGUGAAUGGUAAAGCCUGGGGAAAAUAAAUAUGACUUCUGUGACAUCAGUUAUAUUAAUGGGAGACUCUGGAGCACUAUUGAAAUAGUUCCUUGCGGGUGUGAGAGGAAGGUCCUCACUGUGGGAGGAUGGAACACGGAAGAGGAAAGCAAAGCAGGAUGAACACAGAGUGAGACAGCCAGGCACAGCAAGGCAGCAGCUUCUGUUUCCUGCAGAGAUCAAGGAAUACAGGUAUCUGAAGCUUAAGGACAGGUGGCCUAUUGACUCUGCGUAGAGCAAUGGUGCUCACUUGGCAACACUCACAAUUGAAUCAGUGUCAAAUUGGUAUGUGUGGAGUAGAGUUUGGACAAGGCGAGUCCUACUCUACCUGUAACUGGCAAUGUCAUCUAGCGAACUGUGUAAGUACUUAUGUACCCUCUAUAGGCUCCCCUUUAUGAGAUCCCAAGAAUUGAAGAGUACUGCAAGUUUGAUCCUACUUACCCUAACUGGAUUAACCAAAUCUUGCCGACUUGUGUUUAUUACUAGUACUAAAUAUGAUCUAUGGUGAUAUUCGCUCCUUUUAUUAAUUCAUAUUAAACUUAUGGUAUACUAGAAUUUUGAGUAUUAUCUCAUACGUAGCAUUUAAAUUUGUCAUGGAUUGAUACCUUGGACCCUGGAGUCACAGUGCUUGGUUUCAAUUUUGGCUUACCUGCUGGUUUUUGUUUUCUCACUAGCAAACUGAGGGGUAGUAAUGACAAUACUUCCCACAUAGAUUGUGAGGAUAAGUUGUCCAGGUAAAUCACUCAACACAGAACCUGAUACAUGAGAAGAGUUCUUUAAACAUUAUCAAUUAAUACUUUUAUUGUCAUCUUUACUUUCUUCUGAAACUAGUCUAUUGAUUCAAGACCAUGGCAUGUGACUCACUGUUCAAGCACAUGGAUUUUCUCCUGGAUAUUCAUUCAUUUUUACAGUAUAUUGACUAUCCCUGCCACCAUAAUAUAAACAAUAUAGCUGAAGAGCACUCCUUGGUGUUUUUCUCUCUGACUUUUCUAUCGGUAUGUAGAAUGUUACAGUAACAUCAUAGGCAUGGAUAAUUAACACUUACCAAUGGCCAAAGGCAUUAGAAAAUGCAGACAAAAAUCUUGGCUACUCAUUUCUUGGGCAUAAACAAUUUGGUUCUUUCGGAUGUCAACAAUUUUGCAUAAAAUGUUAAUUUUCAAGAAAAGAGAAUCUAUAAUUUAUACUUCACUUAGGUUUAUAAGAAAGAAAAUCUCACUUUUAAUCCCUUGUUGAUGUGUAAACAUACUGCAAACCCAAAGAAAAAGAAAAGUGAGAUUCAGCAGUAUUUACAUUCCUUCUCUUAAGGUAAUUGAUUCCAAAUCCUUAUUCAUAGUUGUCUUCAGUUUUCACUUGAUAAAUCUGUCUUUCCAGUUUUGUCUUUCUUUUUUUUUAAGCAUCGUGAAUAGUUUGAUGCAUUUUCCUAAACCUUUCCAUUUGGCAAAUCCCUACAUACCCUUUAAGAUCCAUGUCCAAAAUGACUUUGAAGUAACAUUUCGAUUAAUUGUUUUUCCUUUGUGUCUUCUUAAUAUUUCAGGCACACAUUGGCUUUAGUUUUUAUCAUACUGUCUGUACUGUAAUUUUUCUAUGUCUUGCUCAUUAA